GACGAACGCUGGCGGCGUGCUUAACACAUGCAAGUCGAGCGGAAAGGCCCUUCGGGGUACUCGAGCGGCGAACGGGUGAGUAACACGUGAGUAAUCUGCCCUUGGCUUUGGGAUAACUACCGGAAACGGUGGCUAAUACCGGAUACGACAACCGUCUGCAUGGGCUGGUUGUGGAAAGUUUUUUCGGCCAGGGAUGUGCUCGCGGCCUAUCAGCUUGUUGGUGGGGUAGUGGCCUACCAAGGCUUCGACGGGUAGCCGGCCUGAGAGGGUGACCGGCCACACUGGGACUGAGACACGGCCCAGACUCCUACGGGAGGCAGCAGUGGGGAAUAUUGGACAAUGGGCGGAAGCCUGAUCCAGCAACGCCGCGUGAGGGAUGACGGCCUUCGGGUUGUAAACCUCUUUCAGUACCGACGAAGCGCCGAUGAUGGUGGUGACGGUAGGUACAGAAGAAGCACCGGCCAACUACGUG
RNAcentral lists this ribosomal RNA (472 nucleotides) under uncultured bacterium. RNAcentral's name for it is "partial 16S ribosomal RNA". It matches the Rfam family "Bacterial small subunit ribosomal RNA", at positions 28 to 507 of the family's 1533-position model. The record is from RNAcentral.